CUGGGAUUACAGGCGUGAGCCACCGCGCCUGGCCGCUAAUUUUUAAAAAAAUUUUGGGCCGGGCACGGUGGCUCACGCCUGUAAUCCCAGC
This 91-nucleotide microRNA precursor is filed under the name Chlorocebus sabaeus (green monkey). RNAcentral's name for it is "miRNA (ENSCSAG00000023592.1)". The record is from RNAcentral. Lineage: Eukaryota; Metazoa; Chordata; Mammalia; Primates; Cercopithecidae.